CAUGCAAGUCGAACGAAGGUGCCCCUUCGGGGGUAUCCUUAGUGGCGGACGGGUGAGUAACGCGUGGGAACCUGCCCUAGUGUGGGGAAUAACUACGGGAAACUGUAGCUAAUACCGCAUACGCCCUACGGGGGAAAGGCUUCGGCCGCACCGGGAGGGGCCCGCGUCGGAUUAGCUUGUUGGUGGGGUAAUGGCCUACCAAGGCUGCGAUCCGUAACUGGUCUGAGAGGACGAUCAGUCACACUGGAACUGAGACACGGUCCAGACUCCUACGGGAGGCAGCAGUGGGGAAUUUUGCACAAUAGGGGAAACCCUGAUGCAGCGACGCCGCGUGGGUGAAGAAGGCCUUAGGGUUGUAAAACCCUUUCAGCAGGGAAGAUGAUGACGGUACCUGCAGAAGAAGCCCCGGCAAACUCCGUGCCAGCAGCCGCGGUAAUACGGAGGGGGCUAGCGUUGUUCGGAAUUACUGGGCGUAAAGCGCACGUAGGCGGUUUGGAAAGUUGGGUGUGAAAGCCCGGGGCUCAACCCCGGAACUGCACUCAAAACUUCCAGGCUUGAGGUCUGGAGAGGUGGGCGGAAUUCCGAGUGUAGAGGUGAAAUUCGUAGAUAUUCGGAAGAACACCGGUUGCGAAGGCGGCUCACUGGCCAGAGUCUGACG
This 658-nucleotide ribosomal RNA is filed under the name uncultured bacterium. Its description in RNAcentral is "bacterial SSU rRNA". It matches the Rfam family "Bacterial small subunit ribosomal RNA", at positions 54 to 745 of the family's 1533-position model. The record is from RNAcentral.